UACGGAGGGUGCAAGCGUUAAUCGGAAUUACUGGGCGUAAAGCGCGCGUAGGCGGUUUUUUAAGUCGGAUGUGAAAGCCCCGGGCUCAACCUGGGAACUGCAUCCGAUACUGGAAGACUAGAAUGCGGGAGAGGGAGGUAGAAUUCCAUGUGUAGCAGUGAAAUGCGUAGAUAUAUGGAGGAAUACCAGUGGCGAAGGCGGCCUCCUGGCUCGACAUUGACGCUGAGGUGCGAAGCGUGGGGAGCAAACGGG
This 252-nucleotide ribosomal RNA is filed under the name uncultured bacterium. RNAcentral describes it as "partial 16S ribosomal RNA". It matches the Rfam family "Bacterial small subunit ribosomal RNA", at positions 524 to 776 of the family's 1533-position model. The record is from RNAcentral.